CCUACGGGUGGCAGCAGUGGGGAAUAUUGGGCAAUGGGCGCAAGCCUGACCCAGCAACGCCGCGUGAAGGAAGAAGGCUUUCGGGUUGUAAACUUCUUUUAUCAGGGACGAAGCAAGUGACGGUACCUGAUGAAUAAGCCACGGCUAACUACGUGCCAGCAGCCGCGGUAAUACGUAGGUGGCAAGCGUUAUCCGGAUUUACUGGGUGUAAAGGGCGUGUAGGCGGGAGUGCAAGUCAGAUGUGAAAACUAUGGGCUCAACCCAUAGCCUGCAUUUGAAACUGUACUUCUUGAGUGCUGGAGAGGCAAUCGGAAUUCCGUGUGUAGCGGUGAAAUGCGUAGAUAUACGGAGGAACACCAGUGGCGAAGGCGGAUUGCUGGACAGUAACUGACGCUGAGGCGCGAAAGCGUGGGGAGCAAACAGGAUUAGAUACCCUUGUAGUC
Molecule: ribosomal RNA, 443 nt
Filed under: uncultured bacterium
Lineage: Bacteria
Description: partial 16S ribosomal RNA
Rfam family: Bacterial small subunit ribosomal RNA
Source: RNAcentral